UGUGGCAGUAACGUUUGUUGAUUAAUAAACGGAGUCAUUUUAAGCCCAAGAUUUAUAAACUGUCGUCCUGCUUUAUUUUGGUGUUUUAUGAAGGUUCCUCAUGAAAGUGUGGCUGCAUUUCAUUUAUU
This is a long non-coding RNA of Salarias fasciatus (jewelled blenny), 128 nucleotides long. RefSeq lists it as uncharacterized. The record is from RefSeq and is a predicted model, not a curated record. NCBI's taxonomy places the organism in Eukaryota, Metazoa, Chordata, Actinopteri, Blenniiformes, Blenniidae. The transcript is spliced from 3 exons.